GCUUGCUCCACCGGAAAAAGAGGAGUGGCGAACGGGUGAGUAACACGUGGGUAACCUGCCCAUCAGAAGGGGAUAACACUUGGAAACAGGUGCUAAUACCGUAUAACAAUCGAAACCGCAUGGUUUUGAUUUGAAAGGCGCUUUCGGGUGUCGCUGAUGGAUGGACCCGCGGUGCAUUAGCUAGUUGGUGAGGUAACGGCUCACCAAGGCCACGAUGCAUAGCCGACCUGAGAGGGUGAUCGGCCACAUUGGGACUGAGACACGGCCCAAACUCCUACGGGAGGCAGCAGUAGGGAAUCUUCGGCAAUGGACGAAAGUCUGACCGAGCAACGCCGCGUGAGUGAAGAAGGUUUUCGGAUCGUAAAACUCUGUUGUUAGAGAAGAACAAGGAUGAGAGUAACUGUUCAUCCCUUGACGGUAUCUAACCAGAAAGCCACGGCUAACUACGUGCCAGCAGCCGCGGUAAUACGUAGGUGGCAAGCGUUGUCCGGAUUUAUUGGGCGUAAAGCGAGCGCAGGCGGUUUCUUAAGUCUGAUGUGAAAGCCCCCGGCUCAACCGGGGAGGGUCAUUGGAAACUGGGAGACUUGAGUGCAGAAGAGGAGAGUGGAAUUCCAUGUGUAGCGGUGAAAUGCGUAGAUAUAUGGAGGAACACCAGUGGCGAAGGCGGCUCUCUGGUCUGUAACUGACGCUGAG
This 693-nucleotide ribosomal RNA is filed under the name uncultured Bacilli bacterium. RNAcentral's name for it is "bacterial SSU rRNA". It matches the Rfam family "Bacterial small subunit ribosomal RNA", at positions 71 to 750 of the family's 1533-position model. The record is from RNAcentral. Lineage: Bacteria; Bacillati; Bacillota; Bacilli.